UGCUCUUUUCAGCAGCACUACAGUAAAAUUAGAGACAUGGAGAAGAUGAGCAUGGCCCCUGAGGGAGAAUAACAAACUAAUUCAAUUUCAUAUUUUU
Molecule: small nuclear RNA, 97 nt
Filed under: Cervus hanglu yarkandensis (Yarkand deer)
Lineage: Eukaryota; Metazoa; Chordata; Mammalia; Artiodactyla; Cervidae
Source: RNAcentral